AAAAAAGUGACAAUGAAGAUAAGGAAGAGACGGAAUUGGGCGUCAUGGAGGAUCAGCGUAGUAUAAUUCUUCAUCUCAUUUCACAACUCAAACUUGGAAUGGAUUUGACCAAGAAGUGGAACCAACUCUUCUUGGUGCUGAGUGCAGGCAGGAUGCUUCCUGAGGAACCUCACCAAGAGAACCAGUGUCCUGACCACUAAUGUCAUGGAGAGGGUCCCAUAGACGUCACCCCUCACCUCUAGUCAGUAGCUUCAUUCUAGAGAAUCAUGAAUGACAGAGGAAAGAGAUUGUAAGAGAAAUUGAAAUUGCCAAGGUCAGAUAUGGAGAAGCAAGAAAAUGCUGAGGGGACUAUAUUAUGGCAAGCUGAGUGUCUGAGCAACUUCAUGUUAUUCCUGUCUUGCUCUAAAAUAAAGAAAUAUCACAACUGUGC
RNAcentral lists this small RNA (430 nucleotides) under Pongo abelii (Sumatran orangutan). Its description in RNAcentral is "processed transcript". The record is from RNAcentral. Lineage: Eukaryota; Metazoa; Chordata; Mammalia; Primates; Hominidae.